RNAcentral lists this ribosomal RNA (448 nucleotides) under uncultured bacterium. RNAcentral's name for it is "bacterial SSU rRNA". It matches the Rfam family "Bacterial small subunit ribosomal RNA", at positions 328 to 793 of the family's 1533-position model. The record is from RNAcentral.
CGCCCAGACUCCUACGGGAGGCAGCAGUGGGGAAUAUUGCACAAUGGGGGAAACCCUGAUGCAGCGACGCCGCGUGAGUGAAGAAGUAAUUCGUUAUGUAAAGCUCUAUCAGCAGGGAAGAAAAUGACGGUACCUGAGUAAGAAGCCCCGGCUAACUACGUGCCAGCAGCCGCGGUAAUACGUAGGGGGCAAGCGUUAUCCGGAUUUACUGGGUGUAAAGGGGGCGCAGACGGCAAUGCAAGCCAGGAGUGAAAGCCCGGGGCCCAACCCCGGGACUGCUCUUGGAACUGCAUGGCUGGAGUACAGGAGGGGCAGGCGGAAUUCCUAGUGUAGCGGUGAAAUGCGUAGAUAUUAGGAGGAACACCGGUGGCGAAGGCGGCCUGCUGGACUGUGACUGACGUUGAGGCCCGAAGGCGUGAGGAGCAAACAGGAUUAGAUACCCUCGUAC